AUUGAACGCUGGCGGCAGGCCUAACACAUGCAAGUCGAGCGGAUGAAGGGAGCUUGCUCCUGGAUUCAGCGGCGGACGGGUGAGUAAUGCCUAGGAAUCUGCCUGGUAGUGGGGGAUAACGUCCGGAAACGGGCGCUGAUACCGCAUACGUCCUGAGGGAGAAAGUGGGGGAUCUUCGGACCUCACGCGAUCAGAUGAGCCUAGGUCGGAUUAGCUAGUUGGUGGGGUAAAGGCCUACCAAGGCGACGAUCCGUAACUGGUCUGAGAGGAUGAUCAGUCACACUGGAACUGAGACACGGUCCAGACUCCUACGGGAGGCAGCAGUGGGGAAUAUUGGACAAUGGGCGAAAGCCUGAUCCAGCCAUGCCGCGUGUGUGAAGAAGGUCUUCGGAUUGUAAAGCACUUUAAGUUGGGAGGAAGGGCAGUAAGUUAAUACCUUGCUGUUUUGACGUUACCAACAGAAUAAGCACCGGCUAACUUCGUG
RNAcentral lists this ribosomal RNA (484 nucleotides) under uncultured bacterium. Its description in RNAcentral is "partial 16S ribosomal RNA". It matches the Rfam family "Bacterial small subunit ribosomal RNA", at positions 30 to 507 of the family's 1533-position model. The record is from RNAcentral.